UUUACUUUACAGCCACUGAUAGGCAAGCACUUUACACAACAGCAGCUAUCACCCUCAGCACACUUACCGCGGGCUGAUUAAAUCCCAAUUAAUUCGGUUCCAUAGAAUCUGCACCUUUCCCGACGACGUGGAGGAGGCAACAAGAACCCUGUUUGCGGCUCUAACACAAAGGGGCUACUCCAAACGUUUCCUUUGUAAAAUCAAAGCCGACGAAAAUUCAAUCUUUAUAGAUCAAAAGGAGUAUAAGAGGGAGGGGGAGAGUCUCCCUCUGAUCCCAUUUGUGGAGACUUUUUCACACCGUCUAGACGGUAGCAUAUAUAAUUGAGAAAUUAUCUACAAUAACACCAGGAGGCCUAAAUGAAAAAUCUUAGAAGAUUUAUGAAUGACAUUGUUCUUAUAUGGUGGCUUUAGAGUGUACGGUUACUAAUUUGAGGUAAGAGAGUGGUCUUAGAAAAAUGAGAUUUGACAGAACAUCUUCUAUUUAUCCCGUUAUAAUGUCUAUAGCAACAGGUGUCCUAUUAAUUAUACACCUUAGUUAAUAAAUAAAUAUGUAUUAUUUGUUUGUUUAUUUAUUAAUUCAUAUAUUCAGACUUUGUUUACAGGAACCCUGUAUGUAUAUUAUAUAUUGAGAUAUUGCUUGCUUUAUUUGAUUGUGAUUUAUCUCUUAUGCAUGAUCUUUCUCUUAAAUAUUUUAUGGUUUCCUGAAAUACAAUCUCUGAUAUGAAAUUAACUAAAUGUAUAUGUUUAUUUUUAUAAUAUUGGCACUUAUCUUUAAUCUCUGAAAUUGAAUUUUGAUUAAAAAAAAUUUAGGCAUAAAUUGAUUUAGGGAUUUUAUUUAAGGAUCUGUCAUCUUUGAUUCGGACCACUUUAUUGUCUUACAGUACAAUUUAUGAGACGAUCUUUUCGUAUGAUGCCUUCCUUCUUUAAACCAAUUUUAUGAUAUUAUAUGAUUGUUUUGUCUUUUUGUCCUUUUUUCCUAUACUUUCUAGUAUUUUCUAGAAGUUUUAAUCUCCUAGUACUUAUUUACAUGAUUUAAGAUGCAUGUUUAUCCUUGAAGCUCGGUAAGAGCUUCUUUUACUUUUUUACUUUACAUUGAGCACUUAAUUUUCGGUUUUGUGUCCCUCCUUUAAUGAUUUUAAUACACCUUUUGUAUUUCUGGUUUGACUGGUGUGUUUUUUUACUUGUUGAACGAUAUUGAGGCCCUCCAGGGUUGCUUCCCAUUCUAAUUGGAAUGCAUCCACAUAAUAGCAUACAUUUGGACUGUCACCUGCUGCUACCUUGCCUUCCUCCUUCUGGGAUACUUUCUUUAGGUCUCAAGUUAUUUAUUGAAUGCCUACCUGUCAUUCAAAUUCCUAACUCAACCAUUACUUGUCUUC
This 1376-nucleotide long non-coding RNA is filed under the name Sparus aurata (gilthead seabream). RNAcentral's name for it is "lncRNA (ENSSAUG00010010343.1)". Lineage: Eukaryota; Metazoa; Chordata; Actinopteri; Spariformes; Sparidae. The record is from RNAcentral.